RNAcentral lists this ribosomal RNA (542 nucleotides) under uncultured archaeon. Its description in RNAcentral is "bacterial SSU rRNA". It matches the Rfam family "Archaeal small subunit ribosomal RNA", at positions 457 to 997 of the family's 1478-position model. The record is from RNAcentral.
GUCAGCCGCCGCGGUAACACCGGCGGCCCGAGUGGUGAUCGUGAUUAUUGGGUCUAAAGGGUCCGUAGCCGGUUUGGUCAGUCCUCCGGGAAAUCUGAUAGCUCAACUAUUAGGCUUUCGGGGGAUACUGCCAGACUUGGAACCGGGAGAGGUAAGAGGUACUACAGGGGUAGGAGUGAAAUCUUGUAAUCCCUGUGGGACCACCUGUGGCGAAGGCGUCUUACCAGAACGGGUUCGACGGUGAGGGACGAAAGCUGGGGGCACGAACCGGAUUAGAUACCCGGGUAGUCCCAGCCGUAAACGAUGCUCGCUAGGUGUCAGGCAUGGCGCGACCGUGUCUGGUGCCGCAGGGAAGCCGUGAAGCGAGCCACCUGGGAAGUACGGCCGCAAGGCUGAAACUUAAAGGAAUUGGCGGGGGAGCACAACAACGGGUGGAAGCCUGCGGUUUAAUUGGACUCAACGCCGGACAGCUCACCGGGGGCGACAGCAAUAUGUAGGCCAAGCUGAAGACUUUGCCUGAAUCGCUGAGAAGUGGUGCAUGG